UCGCUAGUAAUCGCGGAUCAGAAUGCCGCGGUGAAUACGUUCCCGGGUCUUGUACACACCGCCCGUCACACCAUGGGAGUCGGAAAUGCCCGAAGCCGGUGACUCAACCUGCAAAGGAGAGAGCCGUCGAAGGCAGGUCUGAUAACUGGGGUGAAGUCGUAACAAGGUACC
This 171-nucleotide ribosomal RNA is filed under the name uncultured bacterium. RNAcentral's name for it is "partial 16S ribosomal RNA". It matches the Rfam family "Bacterial small subunit ribosomal RNA", at positions 1332 to 1500 of the family's 1533-position model. The record is from RNAcentral.